RNA transcript from Planococcus citri (citrus mealybug), 2008 nucleotides. RefSeq lists it as uncharacterized. The record is from RefSeq and is a predicted model, not a curated record. Lineage: Eukaryota; Metazoa; Arthropoda; Insecta; Hemiptera; Pseudococcidae. The transcript is spliced from 9 exons.
GACGUUAUUUAUCGUUCUAGAAAAUCCUAGAUCGUAUUAUUAUAUCAGAUUUCUCAUCUUGAAUAAUGAAUACUGGCUACAUCAAAGAUGAGAAUGUUUAGAGAUGCACAGUUUCACUUCAAAUGUAACACUAUAGAAGGAAAAAUUAUGUAAGUUUGUAUUGUUUUACAAUGUUCACAAAAAUUUGUGCAAUCGCGUUCAUUUUCGUUGACUUUUCAAACUAUGCGAGUGGAAGUAAUCAUGCCGAAGAAAUAGAACUCUCCGAAUGGAAAUCCUUAACGACUCGAUCAUACGACUACACCCCCAUUCCAAUCGAUCAAAUAAAGAACAGAAGCGAAAUUUAUCUCGAGUUUUGUGUAAAAGCUGAACGAGAUGCGCAUAUAAUUUUCUCCCCAACAAAAACACCAGCGAAGAUACAUGAAAAAGCUUAUGAAAUAGUUUUAGGCGCCGAUGAAAAUAAAUAUUCCGCUAUCAGACUAUCUCGACAGGGAGAAAACAUAAAACAAGAUGGCCAGCAUGGUAUCAUUUCAUCAAAUUCAUGGCGUAAUAAAUUCUGGCUUCGAAUUAGUUCGAAUGGGUUAAUCGAAGUCGGAAAGUACGGAAAUCCAGCAUUCUUGUCAUGGGAAGACAAAAAUCGCAUGAAUAUUGAUCACUUUGGAUUCGCUAGUUGGAUUAAUAACAAUUCGGUUAAUUGGCGAAUUAAAAACACCUGGACUAAGAAUGAAACUAAAAAGGACCUUAAACGAGUUUUGUUUUUAAAUUACGGUAAAACAGUGCCCCCGAAAAAUAGUACAUUAUUAGAUGAAGUAAAUAUUACUGUCACAAACCAGUACGCAUAUGAGAGAAGGGGUGCCCUCGAAAUAGUUGGAUUAGCAAAAAUUGCAUGGAAAGAUGACCGUUUAAAAUGGAACUCAACUUCGUACAAUAAUUGUGAAAAUAUUUUCGUAGAAUACGACUCGAUAUGGAAACCCAACAUAACAAUUACAAACGAUCAACUAUGCCUCCGCCCUAGAUCCUUGCAUACCGGAUAUGUGAUUUUAUCACACGAGGGUAUUGUUUCAUGGGUCACCCUGUUGCAUACAAAGUUAUCGUGCUCGCCUAAGGAACAUUUUAAGCUGAGUUCUCAUCAAGCAACGUGUCCAAUAAAAUUGAUUUACAUUGCAAAGAAACUAAGUCUUGAAGUUCGAAACAAUUUCGAAAUGCCAUUACCGUCGCCAUUCUUCUGCAGAAAAGUACAAGCUUUGAAAAACGAACAACCUGAAUUCUAUGCUGAAUUGAUCUUUAAAAGACAAGGAUAGUAAAACAUCGACGAAUUUUAAUUUACUUGACGAAUAAAUGAUUUACAUCGUCGUUAUCACAUCAACAAUUUUUGUCGGAUGUGGAGUUGCAGAUAGACCAGAUUUUUCAAAAUGCAAACGAAAUUUGACAUCUCGAAAUUACACUUACGAAGUUUACCCAAUAGACGAAAUAAAAAAUGAAGACAUUUAUUUGGAGUUCUACAUAAAAGCUGCAAGAGAUGCUUUAAUUAUUUUUUCCCCAACAAAUGAUCCAAUGAAAAGCGGUCAAGAUAUCUAUGAAGUACUGAUAGGCGGUUAUAAUAAUACGCAAUCAACAAUCCGAAAAGCAUCAGGAGGUGAACUGGUUAUUUAUCGCAAGGAUAAUAUAUUAUCGCCCAAAGAAUAUCGUAAAUUCUGGAUUCGAAUUCCACUAAACGGAUCAUCGAUUCAAGUGGGGAAGAAAGGGAACUCAUCUCCGUUCAUGCGAUUGUCAGGAAGGAAUUCUUGGAACAUUACUCACUAUGGAUUUGCUACUUGGAAAGAAGAUACUCGUGAAGUGAACUGGUAUUUUCCAUGUUCCCAUGACAGUGAUGUUGCAGGCAUCAUAUUAUUUUACUUUUAAUUUGAAAAGGUGACUCCGCUAGCUGUGGCCACUAUAAAAACAUUAGCAACUUUAUGUAUUUUUUACUCGGAGAUAAAUAAAAUAAAGUUCAGUUUUGUAUUUUUUUCGA